CCUACGGGCGGCAGCAGUGGGGAAUAUUGGACAAUGGGGGCAACCCUGAUCCAGCCAUGCCGCGUGUGUGAAGAAGGCCCUCGGGUUGUAAAGCACUUUCAGUGAGGAAGAACGCCUGGUGGUUAAUACCCAUCAGGAAAGACAUCACUCACAGAAGAAGCACCGGCUAACUCCGUGCCAGCAGCCGCGGUAAUACGGAGGGUGCGAGCGUUAAUCGGAAUUACUGGGCGUAAAGCGCGCGUAGGUGGCUUGAUAAGCCGGUUGUGAAAGCCCCGGGCUCAACCUGGGAACGGCAUCCGGAACUGUCAAGCUAGGGUGCAGGAGAGGAAGGUAGAAUUCCCGGUGUAGCGGUGAAAUGCGUAGAGAUCGGGAGGAAUACCAGUGGCGAAGGCGGCCUUCUGGACUGACACUGACACUGAGGUGCGAAAGCGUGGGUAGCAAACAGGAUUAGAUAUCCUAGUAGUC
Molecule: ribosomal RNA, 465 nt
Filed under: Vreelandella stevensii
Lineage: Bacteria; Pseudomonadati; Pseudomonadota; Gammaproteobacteria; Oceanospirillales; Halomonadaceae
Description: partial 16S ribosomal RNA
Rfam family: Bacterial small subunit ribosomal RNA
Source: RNAcentral